GUAGGGGGCGAGCGUUGUCCGGAAUUACUGGGCGUAAAGGGAGCGUAGGCGGUCUGAUAAGUUGGAUGUGAAAUACCCGGGCUUAACUUGGGGGGUGCAUCCAAUACUGUUGGACUAGAGUACAGGAGAGGAAAGCGGAAUUCCUAGUGUAGCGGUGAAAUGCAUAGAUAUUAGGAGGAACAUCGGUGGCGAAGGCGGCUUUCUGGACUGCAACUGACGCUGAGGCUCGAAAGCGUGGGGAGCAAACAGGAUUAGCUACCCUGGUAGUCCACGCUGUAAACGAUGAAUACUAGGUGUAGGGGGUAUAAACUCCCUCUGUCCGCAGCAAACGCAAUAAG
This 338-nucleotide ribosomal RNA is filed under the name uncultured bacterium. RNAcentral describes it as "bacterial SSU rRNA". It matches the Rfam family "Bacterial small subunit ribosomal RNA", at positions 527 to 864 of the family's 1533-position model. The record is from RNAcentral.